GACGAACGCUGGCGGCGUGCUUAACACAUGCAAGUCGAACGAAGAGCGAUGGAAGCUUGCUUCUAUCAAUCUUAGUGGCGAACGGGUGAGUAACGCGUAAUCAACCUGCCCUUCAGAGGGGGACAACAGUUGGAAACGACUGCUAAUACCGCAUACGAUCCAAUCUCGGCAUCGGGACUGGAUGAAAGGUGGCCUCUAUUUAUAAGCUAUCACUGAAGGAGGGGAUUGCGUCUGAUUAGCUAGUUGGAGGGGUAACGGCCCACCAAGGCGAGGAUCAGUAGCCGGUCUGAGAGGAUGAACGGCCACAUUGGGACUGAGACACGGCCCAGACUCCUACGGGAGGCAGCAGUGGGGAAUCUUCCGCAAUGGACGAAAGUCUGACGGAGCAACGCCGCGUGAGUGAUGACGGCCUUCGGGUUGUAAAGCUCUGUUAAUCGGGACGAAUGGUUCUUGUGCGAAUAGUGCGAGGAUUUGACGGUACCGGAAUAGAAAGCCACGGCUAACUACGUG
RNAcentral lists this ribosomal RNA (510 nucleotides) under uncultured bacterium. Its description in RNAcentral is "partial 16S ribosomal RNA". It matches the Rfam family "Bacterial small subunit ribosomal RNA", at positions 28 to 507 of the family's 1533-position model. The record is from RNAcentral.